GAUGAACGCUGGCGGCGUGCUUAACACAUGCAAGUCGAACGAAGCUGUUAAAAGGAAGUCUUCGGAUGGAAUUUUAACAGACUUAGUGGCGGACGGGUGAGUAACGCGUGGAUAACCUGCCUUAUACAGGGGGAUAACGGAGAGAAAUUUCCGCUAAGACCGCAUAAGACCACAGCACCGCAUGGCGCAGGGGUAAAAUAUUAAUAGGUAUAAGAUGGAUCCGCGUCCGAUUAGCUGGUUGGUGAGGUAGAGGCUCACCAAGGCGACGAUCGGUAGCCGGCCUGAGAGGGUGAACGGCCACAUUGGGACUGAGACACGGCCCAAACUCCUACGGGAGGCAGCAGUGGGGAAUAUUGGACAAUGGGGGAAACCCUGAUCCAGCGACGCCGCGUGAGUGAAGAAGUAUUUCGGUAUGUAAAGCUCUAUCAGCAGGGAAGAA
Molecule: ribosomal RNA, 439 nt
Filed under: Lachnoanaerobaculum saburreum
Lineage: Bacteria; Bacillati; Bacillota; Clostridia; Lachnospirales; Lachnospiraceae
Description: bacterial SSU rRNA
Rfam family: Bacterial small subunit ribosomal RNA
Source: RNAcentral